UUAAAUCCCUAAUUCAUUCUUCCAACGGCAAUCAUGGAGAAAAUUAAUCAAGGUGGAGCGGUGAGGGGGACUUCUUCUACGGCGAGGCUAUGGCAACUCGGUGACGGUGCAUCUUCAUGGUCGUUGCCACCUCUUCUUUGCGGCAGCGACGAUGGUGGCUAAGACUCAGGCAUGGGAUCUCACCCGAGAGCAAGGUGACUUAGGUUUGAGAUGCAAAGGGAGCGUUAGUAGCGAUUCCUCACCAAUGAAGAGGUGGUGAUGCCUUAUUGGUGGCGGCACCGUUAUAGAUCCUCCAGAAACCCCUGGCUUAACAGUACGUAGAGUUGGAGCUGUCUUGGCUUUUGCUUCUGGUCUUGCAAACACUAGCUUCAUGUUCUUGCUCUAUCAUCUUUAAUUCUAAAUGAUAAUUAUGGACUUGGAACUCUUCUGUUUCUUGACAAUCCUGCCUAUGCAGUGUUGGUUCCUACCAAAUGGCUAAGAUUGCUGUCACCCCAACAAUUGUUCCUGCAGAGUUCGUACCCUUUAGAAAACAAUUUCCUUUAGAAAGGUUUUAGCUUUGGUUGUGGUAUCAGCAGGUGUAGCAGUUGCAACACUAUUGCUCUCUGUGUGUGUAUGCCAACCAUCUCAUAUUCUUGUGCUUCAUAUGAUUGACCACAAAAUGUGUUCAACACACUUGACAUACCCAUCAAUGCAUUGAAACCAGUGACACUAACAAAUGAAGUAGCCAAAGCAGCAGAAGCAAGAAGCAACUCGUAUAAAUGGCCAACAAACAUGAGAGAUAUCAUUUGUAAGCUGUAUUGAAACAAAGACACACAAACCAUUGGCCGUACAAGCCAUAGCUGUUUCUCUGCUUCAUCUCCAAUCUCUUUUCUCCAUAAUAUUACCCCUUAUUAUUCCUUUCUAUUUUC
Molecule: non-coding RNA, 908 nt
Organism: Lupinus albus (white lupine)
Lineage: Eukaryota; Viridiplantae; Streptophyta; Magnoliopsida; Fabales; Fabaceae
Source: the annotation of a GenBank genome assembly